CUGCGAUCGAGCAGCCAUUUGCCAGCGACGGCACAUUCUUCUACCGUGGUUGAUGUUUCUCACUGCUUUGAACCCCCAAGACUCCACGGACUGCGGCUGCGGUCGUUUCAUUGCCAACUGUGAGGAUGAAGCAGCUCCAUGGCCGGAGAUCGGGUGCCUCCCAUCAGUUUCCCUUUUCAGCAAUAGAGGCCUUGGAGGCCUUUCUACCUGCAUUGCAUCCUGUGGCUGGACCACUCCAACGAUCUCGGCGGAAUCGUUACACAGG
Molecule: long non-coding RNA, 265 nt
Filed under: Dermacentor andersoni
Lineage: Eukaryota; Metazoa; Arthropoda; Arachnida; Ixodida; Ixodidae
Description: uncharacterized LOC126548640
Source: RNAcentral